UACAGAGGGUGCAAGCGUUGUUCGGAAUUACUGGGCGUAAAGCGCGUGUAGGCUGCGAUGUAAGUCAGGCGUGAAAGCCCUCAGCUUAACUGAGGAAGUGCACUUGAUACUGCAUCGCUCGAGUGUCGGAGGGGGUGGCGGAAUUCCCGGUGUAGAGGUGAAAUUCGUAGAUAUCGGGAGGAACACCUGUGGCGAAGGCGGCCACCUGGACGACAACUGACGCUGAGGCGCGAAAGCGUGGGGAGCAAACAGG
RNAcentral lists this ribosomal RNA (253 nucleotides) under uncultured bacterium. RNAcentral describes it as "partial 16S ribosomal RNA". It matches the Rfam family "Bacterial small subunit ribosomal RNA", at positions 524 to 776 of the family's 1533-position model. The record is from RNAcentral.